GACGAACGCUGGCGGCGUGCUUAACACAUGCAAGUCGAACGGAAAGGCCCUGCUUUUGUGGGGUGCUCGAGUGGCGAACGGGUGAGUAACACGUGAGUAACCUGCCCUUGACUUUGGGAUAACUUCAGGAAACUGGGGCUAAUACCGGAUAGGAGCGCCUGCUGCAUGGUGGGGGUAGGAAAGUUUCGGCGGUUGGGGAUGGACUCGCGGCUUAUCAGCUUGUUGGUGGGGUAGUGGCUUACCAAGGCUUUGACGGGUAGCCGGCCUGAGUGGGUGACCGGCCACAUUGGGACUGGGCUACGGCCCAGACUCCUACGGGAGGCAGCAGUGGGAAAUAUUGCACAAUGGGCGGAAGCCUGAUGCAGCAACGCCGCGUGCGGGAUGCCGGCCUUCGGGUUGUAAACCGCUUUCGCCUGUGACGAAGCGUGAGUGACGGUAAUGGGUAAAGAAGCACCGGCUAACUACGUG
Molecule: ribosomal RNA, 468 nt
Filed under: uncultured bacterium
Lineage: Bacteria
Description: partial 16S ribosomal RNA
Rfam family: Bacterial small subunit ribosomal RNA
Source: RNAcentral